Molecule: long non-coding RNA, 924 nt
Filed under: Arabidopsis thaliana (thale cress)
Lineage: Eukaryota; Viridiplantae; Streptophyta; Magnoliopsida; Brassicales; Brassicaceae
Description: long non-coding RNA (ATHA_LNC000061)
Source: RNAcentral
GAGCCGACCGUGACAUUGCCUAUGUCCGCCGAUGAAAGCGACGACGACGAGUCAACAACGGCGCGUGAAUUCGACGCGCCUUAAAUUUCCGACGACGCUACGGAGCAGUUUAUGGAUGAAAUCGCUGAGAAGAUCGCUUCAAUUGAUUUCUACUGCUUUGCCACCGAUGAGUCGUUCGCUGGUAUGACUCUGAUACAGUCUCGUCUUCAAUUUUGGCCGGAAAAAGUUUUAAAUUUCUCUUCCUUACAUUGAGUUCUUAUGUUUGAUUCAUCUUUUCUCACAAUUUUCCUUGAAAGUUUUGAUUUUUCUCUUCGUCAAGUUUGUAGAUUUUUAGCUUGUUGAGUUUUUUUCAUCUUUCAAGAUUAUACUAUAGCCUAUAUCACUGAGGUAGUAGAAGGUGAAGAUGUUACAUUGCAGUUUUUAGUAUUAAACAAAGUCUAAUUUCUCCCUAAAGUCUUAAUUUUUUGCAAUGCUUCUACUAGGAACAUGACUUGAGUAACUUUUCCUACUUGAUUCUCUGUUAUCUCUGUGGACGUUGAUUCACUAGUCUUGAACGUGUAUCUUCUCUUCAAGGGACUUUGACGAGAUGGUUACCUUGAGACCGUGCCUCAUGUACAAGGUUGUAGUUACUCUGGGGACAACUACAUGAUCUUUAGCAACCUUUAUUGAGUACCUAGACAGGACUGAAGCAGCGAUUGUCUUCAUCUGUAGGUAAGCAAAUGUUUUCCCUAAACACAGCCUUGGUCCAGCAUUGAACACAACGUAUUUAAAUUGGUCAUCAUUCACGAAAUUCCCUGAUUGGAUCCAUCUCUCUGGUUUGAAUGAUUCACAGUCUUUUCCCCAUAUGGAUUCCAUCCUUCCCAUGGCGUAAGUCGCAAAGUAAACCCGUGAGCCUUUACGUAUGAAUGUCCCAUCGGGAAACAC